Non-coding RNA from Paraphysoderma sedebokerense, 97 nucleotides. Lineage: Eukaryota; Fungi; Blastocladiomycota; Physodermatomycetes; Physodermatales; Physodermataceae. The record is from the annotation of a GenBank genome assembly.
GGCCCGAUGGUCUAGUGGUAUGAUUUUCCCUUAGGGAAGUUCUCGCAUGAGUCAUCCAGCUUGGGAGAGGUCCCGGGUUCAAUCCCCGGUCGGGCCC